CGUUCUGUGGCGUAGUUGGUUAACGCGCCCAGUCUAGCGUAUUAGGAGUCGUGGGAUCGAACCCCACCAGAACGA
This is a non-coding RNA of Aedes aegypti (yellow fever mosquito), 75 nucleotides long. NCBI's taxonomy places the organism in Eukaryota, Metazoa, Arthropoda, Insecta, Diptera, Culicidae. The record is from Rfam.